RNAcentral lists this long non-coding RNA (272 nucleotides) under Apteryx rowi (Okarito brown kiwi). RNAcentral describes it as "lncRNA (ENSARWG00000011333.1)". The record is from RNAcentral. Lineage: Eukaryota; Metazoa; Chordata; Aves; Apterygiformes; Apterygidae.
UUGUUCUGUGAACAUUCAGCAAAGCACAGAUGAUGUGAUGUUGCAGUUCUGUGGGAAUAUGUUGAUUUAACUUAAUUGAGGCUUUCCCGGAAGUGGAACCAACCAGCCAACCAACCAAUCCCCCCAAAAGGACAAAGGAAAGGAUGACUUAAGAUAAGGUACCUGCAAAUCCAGAUUAUCAUCACAAUACAGUAUACCAGCAGUUUAUUUCAUACUUAACCAGUAGGAAUUAUUUUGCAAACAAGUCCCUCUCCUUUGUCCAUACAUUGUCU